GCGGAGGGCUGGAUGGCUGCUUGGGCAGGGGGAACCCGACCCGAGAGGAAAGUCCGGACUCCAAGAAGCAACGGUGCCGGGUAACGCCCGGGCGGGGCAACCCGACGGAAAGCGCCACAGAAAACAGACCGCCCCGGCAGGUCCGGGGUAAGGGUGAAACGGUGGGGUAAGAGCCCACCGCGCCUCUGGCAACAGCGGCGGCACGGCAAGCCCCACCGGGAGCAAUGCCAAAUAGGAUCCUCGCGCGGGCCUUGCCCGCGAGCCCGCUCUGGUCGGGGGAUCGGGUUGGCAGCUUGAGGCGCAUGGCAACAUGCGUCCCAGAUGAAUGGUCAUCCAGGGGGCCUUGUGUCUCCAGACAAAAUCCGGCUUAUAGGCCCUCCGCGCAA
This 386-nucleotide RNase P RNA is filed under the name Pontibaca salina. RNAcentral's name for it is "Bacterial RNase P class A". It matches the Rfam family "Bacterial RNase P class A". Rfam says of the family: Ribonuclease P (RNase P) is a ubiquitous endoribonuclease, found in archaea, bacteria and eukarya as well as chloroplasts and mitochondria. Its best characterised activity is the generation of mature 5'-ends of tRNAs by cleaving the 5'-leader elements of precursor-tRNAs. Cellular RNase Ps are ribonucleoproteins. The record is from Rfam by way of RNAcentral. Lineage: Bacteria; Pseudomonadati; Pseudomonadota; Alphaproteobacteria; Rhodobacterales; Roseobacteraceae.